GACAUACUCCCUCCGUCCGAAAAUACUUGUUCUAAAAAUGAAUGUAUCUAGACUUAUUUUAGUUAAAGAUACAUUCAUUGUAUACAUUUUAGGACAAGUAUUUUCGAACGAAGGGAGUACUUA
Molecule: microRNA precursor, 123 nt
Filed under: Hordeum vulgare
Lineage: Eukaryota; Viridiplantae; Streptophyta; Magnoliopsida; Poales; Poaceae
Description: microRNA MIR1122
Rfam family: MIR1120/MIR1122 microRNA precursor family
Source: RNAcentral